This 253-nucleotide ribosomal RNA is filed under the name uncultured bacterium. RNAcentral's name for it is "partial 16S ribosomal RNA". It matches the Rfam family "Bacterial small subunit ribosomal RNA", at positions 524 to 776 of the family's 1533-position model. The record is from RNAcentral.
CACGUAGGGGGCGAGCGUUGUCCGGAUUUAUUGGGCGUAAAGAGCUCGUAGGCGGCUCAGUAAGUCAGGUGUGAAAACUCGAGGCUCAACCUCGAGACGUCGGUUGAAACCGUAUGGCUAGAGUCCGGAAGAGGAGAGUGGAAUUCCCGGUGUAGCGGUGAAAUGCGCAGAUAUCAGGAAGAACACCCGUGGCUAAGGCGGCUCUCUAGUACGUGACUGACGCUGAGACGCGAAAGCGUGGGGAGCGAACAGG